GGGUUGUGAGGUUAAGCGACUAAGCGUACACGGUGGAUGCCCUGGCAGUCAGAGGCGAUGAAGGGCGUGCUAAUCUGCGAUAAGCGCCGGUAAGGUGAUAUGAACCGUUAUAACCGGCGAUACCCGAAUGGGGAAACCCAGUGUGACUCGUCACACUAUCAUUAACUGAAUCCAUAGGUUAAUGAGGCGAACCGGGGGAACUGAAACAUCUAAGUACCCCGAGGAAAAGAAAUCAACCGAGAUUCCCCCAGUAGCGGCGAGCGAACGGGGAGGAGCCCAGAGCCUGAAUCAGCAUGUGUGUUAGUGGAAGCGUCUGGAAAGACGCGCGAUACAGGGUGACAGCCCCGUACACAAAAGCGCAUGUGUUGUGAGCUCGAUGAGUAGGGCGGGACACGUGGUAUCCUGUCUGAAUAUGGGGGGACCAUCCUCCAAGGCUAAAUACUCCUGACUGACCGAUAGUGAACCAGUACCGUGAGGGAAAGGCGAAAAGAACCCCGGCGAGGGGAGUGAAAAAGAACCUGAAACCGUGUACGUACAAGCAGUGGGAGCACAGGUUUACCUGUGUGACUGCGUACCUUUUGUAUAAUGGGUCAGCGACUUAUAUUCUGUAGCAAGGUUAACCGAAUAGGGGAGCCGGAGGGAAACCGAGUCUUAAUUGGGCGUUAAGUUGCAGGGUAUAGACCCGAAACCCGGUGAUCUAGCCAUGGGCAGGUUGAAGGUUGGGUAACACUAACUGGAGGACCGAACCGACUAAUGUUGAAAAAUUAGCGGAUGACCUGUGGCUGGGGGUGAAAGGCCAAUCAAACCGGGAGAUAGCUGGUUCUCCCCGAAAGCUAUUUAGGUAGCGCCUCGUGAACUCAUCUCCGGGGGUAGAGCACUGUUUCGGCUAGGGGGCCAUCCCGGCUUACCAACCCGAUGCAAACUGCGAAUACCGGAGAAUGUUAUCACGGGAGACACACGGCGGGUGCUAACGUCCGUCGUGAAGAGGGAAACAACCCAGACCGCCAGCUAAGGUCCCAAAGUCAUGGUUAAGUGGGAAACGAUGUGGGAAGGCCCAGACAGCCAGGAUGUUGGCUUAGAAGCAGCCAUCAUUUAAAGAAAGCGUAAUAGCUCACUGGUCGAGUCGGCCUGCGCGGAAGAUGUAA
RNAcentral lists this ribosomal RNA (1145 nucleotides) under Salmonella enterica subsp. enterica serovar Thompson. RNAcentral describes it as "partial 23S ribosomal RNA". It matches the Rfam family "Bacterial large subunit ribosomal RNA", at positions 1 to 1175 of the family's 2925-position model. RNAcentral also lists the same sequence under 1 other name. Lineage: Bacteria; Pseudomonadati; Pseudomonadota; Gammaproteobacteria; Enterobacterales; Enterobacteriaceae. The record is from RNAcentral.